AGAGUUUGAUCCUGGCUCAGAAUGAACGCUAGUGAUUUGUUUUAAGACAUGCAAGUUGAAUGAACUAAAUUUAUUUUGGCUCAUAGCGAACGGGUGAGUAAUAUAUAGGAAUUUACCCGACUGUUCAGGUGGAAUCCCGGAUAUUUAUGAAAGAUUUUAUCGUGGUCGGAUAAGCUUAUAUAGGAUUAGGUAGUUGAURAGUUAAUUUCUUAUCAAGCCUAUGAUCCUUAGCUGGUUUUAGCGAAUGAUCAGCCACAUUGGGACUGAGAUAAGGCCCAAACCCAAUUUAGGGGCAGCAGUCGAGAAUCUUAGGCAAUGGGCGAAAGCCUGACCUAGCAAAAUCACGUGUGUGAAGAAGGUUAUCUUAUCGUAAAGCACUUUUAUUAGGGAUAAUAAUGAUAGUACCUAAGGAAAAAGUCCUGGCUAAUCUCGUGCCAGCAGCCGCGGUAAUACGAGAAGGGCAAGCGUUAUUCGGAAUUACUGGGCGUAAAGGGUGCGUAGAUGGUUUAUAGUAGUUAUGCACAAAAUUUUAGGGCCCAACUCUGAAUGGUGGUAUAAUACAGAUAGACUUGAGUUUAAGGAAAGAUUAUGGAAUUUUGGGAGUAGCGGUAAAAUGUGUAAAUACCCAAAGGAACACCAACGGCGAAGGCAAUAAUCUUUCUUAAUACUGACGUUAAGGCACGAAAGCACAGGUAGCAAAGGGGAUUAGAGACCCCUGUAGUCUGUGCCCUCAACGAUGGGUGCUCGCUUUUGGUCCAAUAGAUUAGAAGCUUAGCUAACGCGUUAAGCACCCCGCCUGGGGAUUAUGAUCGCAAGAUUGAAACUCAAAGGAAUUGGCGGGAACUUGAACAAGCGGUGGAGCAUGUGGUUUAAUUCGAUAUUACGCGCAGAAUCUUACCAACUCUUGUUAUUUUAGUAACUUUUUACUAAAACAGGUGCUGCAUGGCUGUCGUCAGUCCGUGCUGUGAAGUGUUUGGUUAACUCCUUUAAACGGGCGUAACUCUUUUAACUUAUUUUUUUUCUAAGUUAAACUACCGAGGAUAACUUGGGGGAAGGAAAGAAUGACGUCAAGUCCUCAUGGCCCUUAUGGGUUGGGCUACACACGUGCUACAAUGGCUUAUACAAAAUGUGGCAAUGAUGUAAAUCGGAGCAAAUCAUAAAAGUAAGCCUUAGUUCGGAUUGUUCUAUGGAACUCUAGAACAUGAAGUUGGAAUCGCAAGUAAUCGUAAAUCAGAACGUUACGGUGAACUAUAUAUUCAAGUUUUGUACACACUGCCCGUCACGCUAUGGAACGUGGUUGUAUCGGAAGCUAUUUUAGGUAAUGUUAUACUACUGUUUAUUAUUUUAUUGAUAUUAUAAAAGCAGUAAGUGGCUUAUUGCUAAAAUAUUUAUGGUAAAGCUACGGACUGGAGUGAAGUCGUAACAAGGUAGCCGUAGGGGAACCUGCGGCUGGAACAAAUAUUAGCAUUUAGACUUUACUUUGCUCUUUCCGCAUCUUUUUUCUUAAUAA
RNAcentral lists this ribosomal RNA (1510 nucleotides) under Cavernulicola chilensis. RNAcentral describes it as "SSU rRNA". Lineage: Eukaryota; Rhodophyta; Bangiophyceae; Cavernulicolales; Cavernulicolaceae. The record is from RNAcentral.